CGCUAAGAAGCUAAACCGGACUAAAGCGUCAGCCUUUUAAGCUGAAGAUUGGUGCCUUCCAACCACCCCUAGCGA
Molecule: transfer RNA, 75 nt
Filed under: Eugnathogobius oligactis
Lineage: Eukaryota; Metazoa; Chordata; Actinopteri; Gobiiformes; Gobiidae
Description: tRNA-Lys
Rfam family: tRNA
About the family: Transfer RNA (tRNA) molecules are approximately 80 nucleotides in length.
Source: RNAcentral